GGAAUUCGGAGUGGCCACCCGUUCUGAAAGUUUGAUUUUCUUCUGAAAAAAGAAGGUUGCAGAAUAGUCCCUGUACUUUGUCGUGUUGUAGUAUUUAGAGUACGAUUGGCAUGCCAAGAGGUUAUUUUGCAAGCG
Gossypium arboreum is the source of this 135-nucleotide long non-coding RNA. RefSeq lists it as uncharacterized. The transcript is spliced from 3 exons. Lineage: Eukaryota; Viridiplantae; Streptophyta; Magnoliopsida; Malvales; Malvaceae. The record is from RefSeq and is a predicted model, not a curated record.